ACUAACAAGGAUUCCCCUAGUAACUGCGAGUGAAGCGGGAAAAGCUCAAAUUUAAAAUCUGAGGGUCUUUAUGGCCUUCCGAGUUGUAAUCUAGAGAAGUGCUAUCCGCGCUGGACCGUGUACAAGUCUCCUGGAACGGAGCGUCAUAGAGGGUGAGAAUCCCGUCUUUGACACGGACUACCAGGGCUUAUGUGAUGCGCUCUCAAAGAGUCGAGUUGUUUGGGAAUGCAGCUCUAAAUGGGUGGUAAAUUCCAUCUAAAGCUAAAUAUUGGCGAGAGACCGAUAGCGAACAAGUACCGUGAGGGAAAGAUGAAAAGAACUUUGGAAAGAGAGUUAAACAGUACGUGAAAUUGUUGAAAGGGAAACGCUUGAAGUCAGUCGCAUUGGCCAGGGAUCAACCUUGCUUUUGCUUGGUGUAUUUUCUGGUUAAUGGGUCAGCAUCAAUUUUGAUCGGUGGAAAAAGAUCAAGGGAAUGUGGCAUCUUCGGAUGUGUUAUAGCCUUUGGUUGUAUACAUCGGUUGGGAUUGAGGAACUCAGCACGCCGCAAGGCCGGGUUUUUAACCACGUACGUGCUUAGGAUGCUGGCAUAAUGGCUUUAAUCGACCCGUCUUGAAACACGGACCAAGGAGUCUAACAUGCACGCGAGUGUUUGGGUGGAAAACCCGAGCGCGUAAUGAAAGUGAAAAUUGAGAUCCCUGUCGUGGGGAGCAUCGAUGCCCGGACCAGACCUUUUGUGACGGUUCCGCGGUUGAGCGUGUAUGCUGGGACCCGAAAGAUGGUGAACUAUGCCUGAAUAGGGUGAAGCCAGAGGAAACUCUGGUGGAGGCUCGUAGCGAUUCUGACGUGCAAAUCGAUCAUCAAAUUUGGGUAUAGGGGCGAAAG
This 882-nucleotide ribosomal RNA is filed under the name Tricholoma myomyces. Its description in RNAcentral is "eukaryotic LSU rRNA". It matches the Rfam family "Eukaryotic large subunit ribosomal RNA", at positions 64 to 929 of the family's 3401-position model. Lineage: Eukaryota; Fungi; Basidiomycota; Agaricomycetes; Agaricales; Tricholomataceae. The record is from RNAcentral.